RNA transcript from Amphibalanus amphitrite, 2345 nucleotides. It is a transcript of the gene named vesicle-associated membrane protein 4-like, with no coding region annotated. The transcript is spliced from 2 exons. The record is from RefSeq and is a predicted model, not a curated record. NCBI's taxonomy places the organism in Eukaryota, Metazoa, Arthropoda, Thecostraca, Balanomorpha, Balanidae.
AAAUUGCACAAAACGUAAGAGUUGUGCGGUGAUGUCCCAUAUGCUACCUGUUGUGCUCUGCGUUUCCGUACAAAUUUCGUAAAGGUAAUGCUGUAGAUUGAUUUGCUGAUAAGCUUAUAGCUAUGCUUUGACCGACUUUUAACGCAUAGACAACAAGUCUCGCCAAGAUAAAGGCACAAUAAAGAUCAAGCCCAAGGACAUCUUCCCGCAAUCAGCCCAUCUUCGCGCACGAUGCAACCUCGGCUUGGCAGUAAGGUAGAUCUGGAUGACUAUGAAGCAGCAGAUGACUCAGAACGUGCUGGCCUGCUGGGUGCCGAGGACGGCAGUCGCGGUGACGACUUCUUCCUGCGCGGGCCGCAGCCCGGUCGGCAGCGCGACUCGGUGGCCGCCGUCCGGGAGCAGGUCUCCGAAGUGACCGGCAUUAUGCGUCAGAACGUGGAGAAAAUCGUGGACCGUGGCGCCAACCUGAGUCAGCUGGAGGAGCAGUCGGAACACUUGGCCUCCACAUCAGAUGAUUUCUACAUCAGCUCCCGACAGGUUCAGCGCCGCAUGUAUCUGCGCGACCUGAAGAUGAAGAUCGCGUUGGCAGCGGUCAUUUUGAUUCUUAUGUUGAUCAUUAUUUUACCGAUCGUUCUCAAGAGCUGAACCGCAGGGAGACAAUGUCUAAAUGGGCUGCAAAGUAGACCAUAGAGCUUGAUUGUCCCCUGCUUUUUGUGGUGUUAUCAGCUUUACUGUGAUGCGAAUGAAACUGAUAAUUAUAGCUGUUGGAAACUUGAUAAAAUGUAGCAUAUUAGAUGUUUUCCAGCAUAUAAAUUCCAUUGUUUGAUUGGGUCGAAUUUAUUGUUGAUUGAUGGGUUCUUAUUUUCGGUUAUGGUAGGGACUAACGAGUGCUCGAAUAUAUGAAGGAAGAUCAUUUGUCUAUAAUUUAAGCAACGCAUCGUUGUGUUAAUUACGUGAUUGUCGUUAACAUAAUCAGGCUCAAAUGUUGUUGCCUGAUCAGGCAUCAUAUGUAAAUAACAACUUUAGAGCGGACGUGUCCCCAUCAACCUUACUGUGUUUCGUGACAAUGGGCCUCAUGUACUCGAGUGUUGUGGUGUACCUUCUGGUGUUGAUGUUGCACUAGCCGCUGCACUUUCUGUCUUAUGUUACGAUGUGUGAAGUGUGUGUGUGUGUGUGUGUGUAGCCGCUCCCCUUUUAUUGCAAUUAAUUAUAAGAGAUGCGGUUCGUGUCCUCUUCUAUGCAUUCAGAAUUUACCAGUAAAUUGUUUAUCUUCAGCAACCAUACGAUGAAGAUAUUUCAUUAUCCUGUGUCUGCAUUGACGGCACCUGCUUGGCUUGGCUCGUGAUACGGCUUUAGUGAUAGAUUUAUUUUAUCGUUAUGGAUAAUGUGUUAUUCGAUGUUGCUUGUGUUAUUGUGCGUCAUUACACUGCUUGCUUGGUGAUGGGUAACAUAUGUCACAAUUAUCUAUUUUUUUUGGAAACUGCAAAUUGAUUUAAGCUUGUCCCGCGUCUGUCUUACAGUGUGCUCGUGUUUAUGAUCUCUUUCGACCAAUUGCGAUCUACAUUACCUCUGUGUCUAGGUAAUCUAUAUGUACAAUGGUGGUGUGGCCUAAUCAGACUUGUGAUCAGCUCAGUUGAGCCGGCUCAAAAAUCAGCUCAGCUCAUGAGCCGGCUCAACAUUUUGCCAAAUUGUUGAGCUGUGAGCUGAGCCGGCUCAGUAAUGCAUUGAGCUGAGCUUCUGUCUGAGCUGAGCUGAAUGAGCUUGAGCUGAGCUGAGCUGAAUGAGCUUGAGCUGAGCUGAGCUGAGCUGAGCUGAGCUGAGCUGAUUGAGCUGAGCUGAGCUGAGCUGAGCUGAGCUGAUUGAGCUGAGCUGAGCUGAGCUGAGCUGAUUGAGCUGAGCUGAGCUGAUUGAGCUGAGCUGAGCUGAUUGAGCUGAGCUGAGCUGAGCUGAUUGAGCUGAGCUGAUCCAGUUCUAGUAGGUACACUGGAAGAUGAUGAGAACGGAUAAAAAUAUAAAACCGAAUGCAAUGUGCAUUGAAUACCUAUUGAUACACUAUAAACACUAGAAACAUGAUAAACUGGAAAGAAUAUUAUAUACAAACCAAAGACGUCACUAGGUGAAAGGCCAUGUAGUUCGACUUCGCAAACUGAAGCGAUUGGUCGGGAAAUCGCUACAUUCCUCUAUUGCACCCAGUUCGCACCGUUGUAAGCCGUUCGGUUGGUAUCCUUAUCCACUGCGGCGUGAUGUCCCGACCUGUGUCCCGAUGAUUCGAUGUCCAUGACCAAUCAACACACGCAUUGCCGUGACGUCAUUGGCCGGACCCCGAAACGUUACGGAGAUAUGGG